CCUACGGGUGGCAGCAGUGGGGAAUAUUGCACAAUGGGGGAAACCCUGAUGCAGCAACGCCGCGUGAGUGAGGAAGUAUUUCGGUAUGGAAAGCUCUAUCAGCAGGGGAUAGAAAAGAAGGUACCUGAAAAAGAAGCCCCGGCUAACUACGUGCCAGCAGCCGCGGGAAUACGUAGGGGGCAAGCGUUAUCCGGAUUUACUGGGUGUAAAGGGAGCGUAGACGGAAAGGCAAGUCAGAAGUGAAAGCCCAAGGCUCAACCAUGGGACUGCUUUUGAAACUGUCAAACUAGAGUGAAGUAGAGGUUGGCGGAAUGCCGAGUGUAGCGGUGAAAUGCGUAGAUAUUAGGCGGAACACCAGUUGCGAAGGCGGCACUCUGGACUGUAACUGACACUGAGGUACGAAAGCGUGGGGAGCAAACAGGAUUAGAUACCCUUGUAGUC
RNAcentral lists this ribosomal RNA (441 nucleotides) under uncultured bacterium. Its description in RNAcentral is "partial 16S ribosomal RNA". It matches the Rfam family "Bacterial small subunit ribosomal RNA", at positions 338 to 795 of the family's 1533-position model. The record is from RNAcentral.